Molecule: ribosomal RNA, 495 nt
Filed under: uncultured bacterium
Lineage: Bacteria
Description: partial 16S ribosomal RNA
Rfam family: Bacterial small subunit ribosomal RNA
Source: RNAcentral
GAUGAACGCUGGCGGCGUGCCUAAUACAUGCAAGUAGAACGCUGAAGGAGGAGCUUGCUCUUCUGGAUGAGUUGCGAACGGGUGAGUAACGCGUAGGUAACCUGCCUGGUAGCGGGGGAUAACUAUUGGAAACGAUAGCUAAUACCGCAUGACAACAGUUAUUGCAUGAUAACUGUUUAAAAGGGGCAACUGCUCCACUACCAGAUGGACCUGCGUUGUAUUAGCUAGUUGGUGAGGUAACGGCUCACCAAGGCGACGAUACAUAGCCGACCUGAGAGGGGGAUCGGCCACACUGGGACUGAGACACGGCCCAGACUCCUACGGGAGGCAGCAGUAGGGAAUCUUCGGCAAUGGGCGGAAGUCUGAACGAGCAACGCCGCGUGAGUGAAGAAGGGUUUCGGAUCGUAAAGCUCUGUUGUAAGAGAAGAACGAGUGUGAGAGUGGAAAGUUCACACUGUGACGGUAUCUUACCAGAAAGGGACGGCUAACUACGUG